Molecule: long non-coding RNA, 784 nt
Organism: Miniopterus natalensis
Lineage: Eukaryota; Metazoa; Chordata; Mammalia; Chiroptera; Miniopteridae
Source: RefSeq, a predicted model, not a curated record
AUGGCCAUUGCCCUGGGUUGGUGAUCUUGGGACCUGAGGCAAUGAGAUACAGGACAAGAGGGAAUCAUUAAAGAGGCCUAAGCAAGGGCAAUGGGGAGCCACUUUCAUUAUAUAUUUGAAUGAUAAGGGUUUGGAUGCUCACCUUGCUAUUUAAUUUUUAUCAUCUGAUUCUGUGAUAACCUGACUCUGUAAAGUUUAAUCAGAAUGUGAAUUGGAGUGGCUUUGCCUUGUUUUUAAUCUUGACUACUCUUUCUCUCUCAGGUUGCAGAGGAAAUCUCUCAGUGCACUGGCUGGUGGGAUAGAAACACAUUCUUUUCCAAGAAAGGACUUUGUCUGACUCUAGGUGCAGCCUCAGGGCCCCAGGAGAACUCAUGCAGGGGAGGAGAUGGAACCCUGAGCAGUUUUACUGACACAUCCAUUUGGAGGCAAGAAAGAUGCUUAUGCCGUAGAGCAGCGGCAGAGUAUGGCUUUCAGGUUGAACAAGUCUCGUGCUAAAGGGGGUGCCAGCUGCAUGCAGUCUCUUGGCAGAGACACACUGUGCAAGAAGGGCAGAUGCGCAGGCCCAAGUAAGAUUGCUUAAGUGUGGUUUAUUCUUAAAUUAAUUUGUUUUUUGUUAUAACAGCAGUUCAAACUCAUAGUAAACUCAUAGCACUCUAUCUGUCCACAGGCAGUGGGAUCCAACGUUGGCUGAGCUGGGUGGUUUAUUGGUGCCAGGCUUAGCACCCACUUUAAAAUGAGGAUCCUCUCACCACUGGAGAGGGAGUCCAAACACCCUGCCAGGGCC